Molecule: ribosomal RNA, 116 nt
Filed under: uncultured bacterium
Lineage: Bacteria
Description: partial 16S ribosomal RNA
Rfam family: Bacterial small subunit ribosomal RNA
Source: RNAcentral
CGGUGGAAUAGUUCCCGGACCGUUCGCACACACCGCCCGUCAAGCCAUGGAAGCUGGGUGUACCUAAAGUCGGUAACCGUAAGGAGCCGCCUAGGGUAAAACUAGUGACUGGGGCU